Molecule: ribosomal RNA, 213 nt
Filed under: uncultured bacterium
Lineage: Bacteria
Description: partial 16S ribosomal RNA
Rfam family: Bacterial small subunit ribosomal RNA
Source: RNAcentral
UACGUAGGGGGCUAGCGUUGUCCGGAAUCAUUGGGCGUAAAGCGCGUGUAGGCGGUCCGGUAAGUCCGCUGUGAAAGUCGGGGGGCUCAACCCUCGGAUGCCGGUGGAUACUGUCGGGCUUGAGUACGGAAGAGGCGAGUGGAAUUCCUGGUGUAGCGGUGAAAUGCGCAGAUAUCAGGAGGAACACCAGUUGGCGAAGGCAGGUCUCGCUGG